Molecule: transfer RNA, 73 nt
Filed under: Actinomycetota bacterium
Lineage: Bacteria; Bacillati; Actinomycetota
Description: tRNA-Lys
Rfam family: tRNA
About the family: Transfer RNA (tRNA) molecules are approximately 80 nucleotides in length.
Source: RNAcentral
GGGCCGUUAGCUCAACUGGCAGAGCAGCGGACUUUUAAUCCGCGGGUUCAGGGUUCGAGCCCCUGACGGCCCA